AUGCUUGCCACACUUCUCUUGUAAAAGGACACUCUCGGAAAACAUGAAGACUCUCUUCUACUCCAAAAUAACAUCGUGGACAGCGGGCAGUUGAACUAACCCUCCUCAACCUGAGAUUACCAAAGUAGUCAUUAGCUGUAGAAGCAUCUUGUAGUAGUUUAUACGCACUACGUACUGAAAACUCACCAGAUAGUUCUCCACUCCACACCUGAAUAUCCUCAUGUUCGGUCUCUGCCAGAGGAAUUUGUAGAAUCUUCCGAGCAGUAUCUUCUUGAAAGCCACCUUGUCAAUCCCCUGAAUCCAGUUGUCUUCCCAGAUAGAAAUGCUACUCCCUUUACCAACUCUCCAACCCAAUCCUCUUUGGAGAAGUCCUUUUGCCGCCCAGAUGCUCUUCCAGGUAAAUGAAGUGAUGAGGAAGGGUUCGUCGAGGUUGUUGAAGACAUUGACGACAACAUUGUUAUUGGUGGUUGAGUUGAUGUUAGGUCCAGAAAAUUCGCCGUUAAUAAGAAUACCUUGUUGAGGAACACCCAGAGGAGAAAUGGUAUCAUAAGUGACAUUCCAAGUGAAAAAUAUAGUCGGAUCGCCGCCUUCGACCACAAAAACCGAACCUGUCAUGAGACAUAAGAACAAGGUUAACAUCAAUACAGCCAUUGCUUGUUCCCUGUUGUAUUUUUGUUUUAUUUUUUAUUUUUUAUAAAAAAAUUAGGAUGAAUAAUUGGGUUUUUA
This is a long non-coding RNA of Gossypium raimondii (Peruvian cotton), 726 nucleotides long. RefSeq lists it as uncharacterized. Lineage: Eukaryota; Viridiplantae; Streptophyta; Magnoliopsida; Malvales; Malvaceae. The record is from RefSeq and is a predicted model, not a curated record. The transcript has 4 exons.